UAGGGGAGUCGGGGCUCGGUCCCCCUCCCCGAGCCCAGGGUAACUCUCUCUGUGGAGGGGAA
Cricetulus griseus (Chinese hamster) is the source of this 62-nucleotide non-coding RNA. NCBI's taxonomy places the organism in Eukaryota, Metazoa, Chordata, Mammalia, Rodentia, Cricetidae. The record is from Rfam.